UAAACCUAAAGAAUUUGGCGGUGUUUUAUUCUAUUCAGAGGAAUUUGCUCCAUUAUCGAUAGUCCUCGUUUUAUCUUACUUUAUUUUGUUUUCAGUUUGUAUAUCGCCGUUAUAAGUUUAUUUUUGUAGAAUUUAAUUUACUUUAUUAUUUAUUUAUAGUUAUUUCAGGUCAAGGUGCAGCUUAUAUUAAAGUGGAAGUGAAUUACAAUAUUAUUUAAAUAAAUGAAUUUAUUUUUUAAAUAAAUUAAUGAAAGUGGAUUUGUUAGUAAUUUUAAUUAUAAAGUUAUUUUGAUUUUAGUUCUAAAAUAAGUACACAUCGCCCGUCGCUCUA
Molecule: ribosomal RNA, 331 nt
Filed under: Parectatosoma mocquerysi
Lineage: Eukaryota; Metazoa; Arthropoda; Insecta; Phasmatodea; Anisacanthidae
Description: partial small subunit ribosomal RNA
Source: RNAcentral